AAUAGACAGCAAAAUAGCAGAACUCCUUAACAGCAAUUAACCGCAAAUGGAUUACACCUUCCAAUUAAAAGGCAGAGAUCGGCAGAAUGGAUUAUAAAAGGAUAACCAUUCCGGAAAACCCAGACUCAAUAAAAAAAUAAAAAUAAAGAGGAUAACUGGACAGUUCAACAAUAAUGGCUGGAGACUUCAGUGCCUUCACUUUCCAUCGUGGAUCUAACAACAGGAAGAAAACACACCGGGAAACAGAAGACCUGAAUAGCACUAACUGCUCCUGAGAUGCCUCCAGACCACUCCACCUGGUGACAGAAAAACAGACUUUCCUCCCAGUGCACAGGAUUCUUCUCCAAAAAGACUCUAUGUUAGGCCACAGAUCACACGUUGGAGAAUUAAAACGGACGGCAAUAAUACAAAGCGUGCUCUCCAACCACAGCAGAAUGAAGUUAGGAAUCAGUAACAGGAGAGAAUUUGGAAAAAUCAAAAACAUGAAAAUUAAGUACCACACUCUUAAAUAACCAAUCAGUCAAGAAAGAGAUCACGAGGGAGGCGGGCACGUUGGCUCACGCCUGUGAUCCCAGCAGUCUGGGGGGCCGAGGCAGGAGGAUCACUUGAGUCCAGGAGUUCGAGACCAGCCUGGGCAACACAGCAAGACCCAGUCUCUACAGAAAAUACAAAAAAUAGCCGGGGCGUGGUGGUGAUACGAGAGGGGGGCAGGGAAGUGCUGGGUAGAGAAAGGAGGGUCCCCGGCCUCGGUGAGGACAGGCUCUCCUGCUCUCCUGCCCAAAUGUUGCAUUUUCCAAGACCACCCUGGCCCGCCAUGCCCCCAUCCUGGUACUAUAAAAACCCAAGACCCUAGCAGGCCGACAAGGCAGCCGGACGUGGAGAGGAGCAGAUCAGUGGAAGAAGACGCCAGCGGCUGCUCGGCAGGAAGACGGCGAGGGAGCAGCAGCCACCGGCGGCGGGACCAGGCGGGGUUUGGCCGGUUGGAGGAGAGCCGGGGCCGCCGAGCAGCCCGCGUCCAGGGCAGAACCGUCUCCCUUCCGGCUCCCCCAGCGGCUGAGAGCUCCUUCCAGGCAAUACGACCCUGGGCGCAUUCUCCAGGCCACGCGUGAUCAGAUUCUGCCGGUACACCGAAGCAGGAACCCGGGAUACGGAAAGCGUCGGUCCUUGCGGCGAGGCGGGGGUCCCAGCACAAACCACCCCCAGACGGCAAACCAGCCGUGCAGCCUGGAACCCACGCCCACCGGGGCCUCAGGCGCCGCGAGACGCUGCCGCGGGGUCGGAGCCCCGCAGCCCGCCCGUCCCCGGAGGCGGCCACCCCCCACCACACCCCCGCGAGGCGCGCGAGGGGCUCUGCGGCUUCUGCGCUCACGCCCGUCGUCCCAGCUGCUCCGUGAGCCCGAGCGCGGGCGAGGCCUGAGUCACACUGAGUCACUGCGCCCCAGCGCGGGCGACGAGAGCCCGUCCCAACAGCAACGACGAGAGGGCGAGGAAGGGGAGGGCGGUGAGGGCACCCGGGACCUCGUGGUGUAUUUUGACGACGGAAUGCGCUUUCGGAGGCGACAGUGGUGACGACGCAGAUGAGGUGACGUGCGCUGGAAGCGCCCCGAGCGCCACCCUGGGCCCGCACACGACUCGGUUUUGCACAGAGCGCGCCUGCCCUGCUGUCUGGCUUGGCGGACAACGAACCAUUUGGUCAGGGCCCAGGCGACCUGUGUGGUCCCGGGGAGGGGCAUGGAGAUGGUGACAGGGUAUCUUCUCCACGCCUCCCUCCCUUCCCCCACUGCCACCUCCGGUUUCCUGGGCAUGGGGCGAAGGGCGACAUCCGAGUCACUGAAGCAGGAAGCAGAGUUGGAAGAGGAGCCGGGAUGGAGAGGCUGGCGUGAGCACAGUGACCAGGACUGAUGCCAGGAGAGGAGAAAGAUGAUGGUGUUAAGGAAACGUGUGGACCCCAGGUCUCCAGCAGUUGAGACUGGUUAGAGCCACGACAACUGACAAAAGCAGCCAAGGAAAGGAAGACAGCGGGAAGUUCACCGCCCAUUUCCAGAAGACAUGAAUAUUCUUCCCCUCGCUGUUCACCUCCAGCCCCUUCAGUACAGAAACCCUACAUUUAGCCCCUGCCCGCUCACCUGUUGAGAAGUUGAACUGUGGGCCAAGCUCCUGCUUCUCAGUCCGUGGUCACUGAAUAAAGUCGGCUUCGGUUUCAUGUAUCGGCUUCGUGACACCAAACAGGGAAGGACCCCAUCUUUUGGGCAACCGGCUUUCUCAGUAGCAUGUGGACAAGUCUGAGAGCUAAGGACUCCCGGGAAGACCCACUCACAGGAGGUCUCCAUGCUCUUGUGAAUUUUACUUCCUGGAAUGCUGCCAGGUUCUCACAGCGAAAAUCAGAGAAAACCCCCUCAGGGCUCUAGCAGAGACAGGGGAGAAGGGACCAUUUUGAAAUACGCCAGAGUGCUCUGCCCUCUUUAGGAAAAGAAUGGGUUCAUGUCCUUCGCAGGGACAGGGAUGAAGCUGGAAACCAUCAUUCUCAGCAAACCAACACAGGAACA
RNAcentral lists this long non-coding RNA (2546 nucleotides) under Homo sapiens (human). RNAcentral's name for it is "HSALNT0387809". The record is from RNAcentral. Lineage: Eukaryota; Metazoa; Chordata; Mammalia; Primates; Hominidae.